This 157-nucleotide ribosomal RNA is filed under the name uncultured bacterium. RNAcentral's name for it is "partial 16S ribosomal RNA". It matches the Rfam family "Bacterial small subunit ribosomal RNA", at positions 341 to 510 of the family's 1533-position model. The record is from RNAcentral.
ACGGGAGGCAGCAGUGGGGAAUAUUGGACAAUGGGGGCAACCCUGAUCCCAGCGAUGCCGCGUGAGUGAAUGAAGUGCCUUCAGGUAUUGUAAAGACUCUUUCAGAUGGGAAGAUAAUGACGGUACCAUCAGAAGAAGCCCCGGCUAAACCGUGCCA